Molecule: ribosomal RNA, 450 nt
Filed under: uncultured bacterium
Lineage: Bacteria
Description: partial 16S ribosomal RNA
Rfam family: Bacterial small subunit ribosomal RNA
Source: RNAcentral
CCUACGGGGGGCUGCAGUGGGGAAUUUUGGACAAUGGGCGCAAGCCUGAUCCAGCCAUGCCGCGUGAGUGAAGAAGGCCUUCGGGUUGUAAAGCUCUUUCGGCGGGGAAGAAAUUGCACUGGCUAAUACCUGGUGUAGAUGACGGUACCCGCAUAAGAAGCACCGGCUAACUACGUGCCAGCAGCCGCGGUAAUACGUAGGGUGCGAGCGUUAAUCGGAAUUACGGGGGGUAGUGCGUGCGCAAGUGGGUUGGGAAAUCCCCGGGCUCAACCUGGGAACUGCAUUUGAGACUGCACGGCUAGAGGAUGGCAGAGGGGGGUAGAAUUCCACGUGUAGCAGUGAAAUGCGUAGAGAUGUGGAGGAAUACCGAUGGCGAAGGCAGCCCCCUGGGCUAUUUCUGACACUCAUGCACGAAAGCGUGGGGAGCAAACAGGAUUAGAUACCGUAGUC